UCCAUCGUGGCGGAGUGGUAACGUUUGCGACUUUGAUUCGUCAAGUCAAGGGUUCGAGGCUCGCCUCGGUUUGAAG
Halocaridina rubra (Hawaiian volcano shrimp) is the source of this 76-nucleotide non-coding RNA. The record is from the annotation of a GenBank genome assembly. Lineage: Eukaryota; Metazoa; Arthropoda; Malacostraca; Decapoda; Atyidae.